Molecule: ribosomal RNA, 1874 nt
Filed under: biofilm metagenome
Description: bacterial LSU rRNA
Rfam family: Bacterial large subunit ribosomal RNA
Source: RNAcentral
GCUCAGACAGCCAGGAGGUUGGCUUAGAAGCAGCCAUCCUUUAAAGAGUGCGUAAUAGCUCACUGGUCGAGCGAUAGUGCGCCGAAAAUUCAUCGGGGCUCAAGUUUGCCACCGAAGCUACGGACUUCCAUCGCAAGGUGGGAGUGGUAGGGGAGCAUUCUCUGUGCAGCGAAGGUUGACCGACAAGGACAGCUGGAGCGCAGAGAAGAGAUUAUGCAGGCAUAAGUAGCGAUAAAUGAUGUGAGAAUCAUCAUCCCCGUAAGCCUAAGGUUUCCUGGCCUAUGUUCGUCAGGUCAGGGUGAGUCGGAUCCUAAGCCGAGGCCGAGAGGCGUAGGCGAUGGAAAACAGGUCAACAUUCCUGUACCACAGUGGUGACGUUAUCAGCGAAGGGGGGGUGCAGAAGGGUAGGCACCGCCGGGUCCCUGGAAUACCCGGUCCAAGCGUGUAGGCGGGUCUCGUUGGCAAAUCCGCGAGGCCGUUACCGCCGAGACGUGAUGGGGAGGCCGCAAGGCCGUAAACGGGCUGAUCCCAUGCUGCCGAGAAAAGCCUCGUAGCGAGUCAUCAUCGUGUCCGUACCGCAAUCCGACACAGGUAGGCAGGUGGAAUACACUAAGGGGCGUGAGAGAACACUUCCUAAGGAACUUUGCAAUUUAGCCCCGUAACUUCGGGAGAAGGGGUGCCACGCCUAGGUGAGAUUGUACAAAUUAAGCCGAACGUGGUUGCAAUAAAGUGGCUCUAGCGACUGUUUACCAAAAACACAGGACUCUGCGAACACGCAAGUGGACGUAUAGGGUCUGACGCCUGCCCGGUGCUGGAAGGUUAACCGGAGGAGUUAGCCGCAAGGCGACGCUUUGAAGGGAAGCCCCAGUAAACGGCGGCCGUAACUAUAACGGUCCUAAGGUAGCGAAAUUCCUUGUCGGGUAAGUUCCGACCUGCAUGAAUGGCGUAACGACUGGAGCGCUGUCUCGGGAAGUGACUCAGCGAAUUUGUUGUUCCGGUGAAGAAGCCGGGUGCCCGCAACUAGACGGAAAGACCCUGUGCACCUUUACUACAACUUGACAUUGGAUGUUGGAGAAGGCUGUGUAGGAUAGGUGGGAGCCUGCGAAGCGUGGCCGCUAGGUCGCGUGGAGGCGUCGUUGAAAUACCACCCUGAAUUUUCUGAUAUUCUAACUCGGCCCUGUCAUCCAGGGCGAAGACAGUGUCUGGUGGGUAGUUUGACUGGGGCGGUCGCCUCCCAAAAGGUAACGGAGGCGUUCAAAGGUUCCCUCAGGCUGGUCGGUAAUCAGCCGUCGAGUGCAAAGGCAGAAGGGAGCUUGACUGCGAGAGCGACAGCUCGAGCAGAGACGAAAGUCGGACUUAGUGAUCCGGUGGUUCUGUGUGGAAGGGCCAUCGCUCAACGGAUAAAAGGUACGCCGGGGAUAACAGGCUGAUCUCCCCCAAGAGUUCACAUCGACGGGGAGGUUUGGCACCUCGAUGUCGACUCAUCGCAUCCUGGGGCUGAAGCUGGUCCCAAGGGUUAGGCUGUUCGCCUAUUAAAGCGGUACGAGAGUUGGGUUCAGAACGUCGUGAGACAGUUCGGUCCCUAUCUGUUGUGGGCGGAGGAGAGUUGAGAGGGGCUUUCACUAGUACGAGAGGACUGUGAAGGACGGACCUCUAGUGUGCCGGUUGUCGCGCCAGCGGCAGCGCCGGGUAGCUAUGUCCGGUGGCGAUAAUCGCUGAAAGCAUCUAAGCGAGAAGCGUGCCUCAAGAUAAGCUCUCCCGUAGCAUUAUGCUACCUAAAGACCACUCGUAGACCACGAGUUUGAUAGGCUGGGUGUGGAAGGCCCGUGAGGGCUGUAGCUAACCAGUACUAAUCGGUCGUGCGGUUUAACAUC